UUAAGGUGCGGAGCCGUAGCGAAAGCGAGUUUUAACUGAGCGUUCAGUUACUUGACGUAGACCCGAAACCGGGCGACCUACCCAUGAGCAGGAUGAAGCGAAAGUAAAAUUUCGUGGAGGUCCGAACCCACGAGCGUUGAAAAGCUCGGGGAUGACUUGUGGGUAGCGGUGAAAUUCCAAUCGAGCCCGGAGAUAGCUGGUUCUCCCCGAAAUAGCUUUAGGGCUAGCCUCAAGGUGAGAGAUACGGAGGUAGAGCACUGAAUGUCCUAGGGGGUAUUGCACCUACCGAAGACUAUCAAACUCCGAAUGCCGUCAUCUUAUACUUGGGAGUCAGACUGUGGGUGAUAAGAUUCAUAGUCGAAAGGGCAACAGCCCAGAUCGUCAGCUAAGGUCCCUAAAUGUAAGUUAAGUGGUAAAGGAUGUGGGAUUGCACAGACAACCAGGAUGUUGGCUUAGAAGCAGCCACUCAUUCAAAGAGUGCGUAAUAGCUCACUGGUCGAGUGAUCCUGCGCCGAAGAUUUCCGGGGCUAAAACUUACUACCGAAGCUACGGCAUCAGUAAUGAUGGGUAGGGGAGCUUCCCAUACGGGUUGAAGCAUGACCGUAAGGACAUGUGGACAGUAUGGGAGUGAGAAUGUUGGC
Molecule: ribosomal RNA, 641 nt
Filed under: Clostridioides difficile
Lineage: Bacteria; Bacillati; Bacillota; Clostridia; Peptostreptococcales; Peptostreptococcaceae
Description: partial 23S ribosomal RNA
Rfam family: Bacterial large subunit ribosomal RNA
Source: RNAcentral